RNAcentral lists this ribosomal RNA (472 nucleotides) under uncultured bacterium. RNAcentral's name for it is "bacterial SSU rRNA". It matches the Rfam family "Bacterial small subunit ribosomal RNA", at positions 329 to 793 of the family's 1533-position model. The record is from RNAcentral.
GCAGAGCAUCCUACGGGAGGCAGCAGUGGGGAAUAUUGCACAAUGGGCGCAAGCCUGAUGCAGCCAUGCCGCGUGUAUGAAGAAGGCCUUCGGGUUGUAAAGUACUUUCAGCAGUGAGGAAGGUGGGUAUGUUAAUAGCAUAUUCAUUUGACGUUUAGCUGCAGAAGAAGCACCGGCUAACUCCGUGCCAGCAGCCGCGGUAAUACGGGGGGUGCGAGCGUUAAUCGGAAUUACUGGGCGUAAAGCGCAUGCAGGUGGUUUGUUAAGUCAGAUGUGAAAGCCCGGGGCUCAACCUCGGAAUUGCAUUUGAAACUGGCAAACUAGAGUACUGUAGAGGGGGUAGAAUUUCAGGUGUAGCGGUGAAAUGCGUAGAGAUCUGAAGGAAUACCGGUGGCGAAGGCGGCCCCCUGGACAGAUACUGACACUCAGAUGCGAAAGCGUGGGGAGCAAACAGGAUUAGAUACCCUGGUAG